GACGAACGCUGGGGCAUGCCUAAUACAUGCAAGUCGAGCGAACAGAUGAAGUGCUUGCACUUCUGACGUUAGCGGCGAACGGGUGAGUAACACGUAAGGAAUCUACCUAUAAGCGGGGGAUAACAUUCGGAAACGGGUGCUAAUACCGCAUAAUAUCUUCUUCCGCAUGGAAGAAGAUUGAAAGACGGCUCUGCUGUCACUUAUAGAUGACCUUGCGGUGCAUUAGUUAGUUGGUGGGGUAACGGCCUACCAAGACGAUGAUGCAUAGCCGACCUGAGAGGGUGAUCGGCCACAGUGGGACUGAGACACGGCCCAAACUCCUACGGGAGGCAGCAGUAGGGAAUCUUCCGCAAUGGGCGAAAGCCUGACGGAGCAAUGCCGCGUGAGUGAAGAAGGCCUUCGGGUCGUAAAACUCUGUUAUAAGAGAAGAACAAAUUGUAGAGUAACUGCUACAGUCUUGACGGUAUCUUAUCAGAAAGCCACGGCUAACUACGUGCCAGCAGCCGCCGUAA
Molecule: ribosomal RNA, 512 nt
Filed under: uncultured bacterium
Lineage: Bacteria
Description: partial 16S ribosomal RNA
Rfam family: Bacterial small subunit ribosomal RNA
Source: RNAcentral